CACGUAGGGUGCGAGCGUUGUCCGGAAUUAUUGGGCGUAAAGAGCUCGUAGGCGGUGUGUCGCGUCGGCCGUGAAAACCUGCAGCUUAACUGUGGGCGUGCGGUCGAUACGGGCAUCACUGGAGUUCGGCAGGGGAGACUGGAAUUCCUGGUGUAGCGGUGAAAUGCGCAGAUAUCAGGAGGAACACCGGUGGCGAAGGCGGGUCUCUGGGCCGAUACUGACGCUGAGGAGCGAAAGCGUGGGUAGCGAACAGG
This 254-nucleotide ribosomal RNA is filed under the name uncultured bacterium. RNAcentral's name for it is "partial 16S ribosomal RNA". It matches the Rfam family "Bacterial small subunit ribosomal RNA", at positions 524 to 776 of the family's 1533-position model. The record is from RNAcentral.